This 465-nucleotide ribosomal RNA is filed under the name uncultured bacterium. RNAcentral's name for it is "partial 16S ribosomal RNA". It matches the Rfam family "Bacterial small subunit ribosomal RNA", at positions 28 to 507 of the family's 1533-position model. The record is from RNAcentral.
GACGAACGCUGGCGGCGUGCUUAACACAUGCAAGUCGAACGGAAAGGCCCCUUUGGGGGUACUCGAGUGGCGAACGGGUGAGUAACACGUGAGUAACCUGCCCUUGACUUCGGGAUAACUUCAGGAAACUGGGGCUAAUACCGGAUAGGAAUCCUUGCUGCAUGGUGGGGGUUGGAAAGCUUCGGCGGUUUUGGAUGGACUCGCGGCUUAUCAGCUUGUUGGUGGGGUAGUGGCUUACCAAGGCUUUGACGGGUAGCCGGCCUGAGAGGGCGACCGGCCACAUUGGGACUGAGAUACGGCCCAGACUCCUACGGGAGGCAGCAGUGGGGAAUAUUGAACAAUGGGCGGAAGCCUGAUGCAGCAACGCCGCGUGCGGGAUGACGGCCUUCGGGUUGAAAACCGCUUUCAGCAGGGGCGAAGCUUGUGGUGACGGUACCUGCAGAAGAAGCACCGGCUAACUACGUG